GUGGGGAAUAUUGGACAAUGGGCGAAAGCCUGAUCCAGCCAUGCCGCGUGUGUGAAGAAGGUCUUCGGAUUGUAAAGCACUUUAAGUUGGGAGGAAGGGCAGUAAGUUAAUACCUUGCUGUUUUGACGUUACCGACAGAAUAAGCACCGGCUAACUUCGUGCCAGCAGCCGCGGUAAUACGAAGGGUGCAAGCGUUAAUCGGCAUUACUGGGCGUAAAGCGCGCGUAGGUGGUUUUGUAAGUUGGAGGUGAAAUCCCCGGGCUCAACCUGGAAACUGCCUCCAAAACUGCAUGACUAGAGUACGGUAGAGGGUAGUGGAAUUUCCUGUGUAGCGGUGAAAUGCGUAGAUAUAGGAAGGAACACCAGUGGCGAAGGCGACUACCUGGACUGAUACUGACACUGAGGUGCGAAAGCGUGGGGAGCAAACAGGAUUAGAUACCCGGGUAGUCC
This 450-nucleotide ribosomal RNA is filed under the name uncultured bacterium. RNAcentral describes it as "partial 16S ribosomal RNA". It matches the Rfam family "Bacterial small subunit ribosomal RNA", at positions 354 to 796 of the family's 1533-position model. The record is from RNAcentral.